GCUAGUGUAGCUUAAAAUAAAGCAUAGCACUGAAGAUGCUAAGAUGGGCCCUGAGAAGCCCCACGGGCA
Molecule: transfer RNA, 69 nt
Filed under: Triplophysa yarkandensis (Kashgarian loach)
Lineage: Eukaryota; Metazoa; Chordata; Actinopteri; Cypriniformes; Nemacheilidae
Description: tRNA-Phe
Rfam family: tRNA
About the family: Transfer RNA (tRNA) molecules are approximately 80 nucleotides in length. Their secondary structure includes four short double-helical elements and three loops (D, anti-codon, and T loops). Further hydrogen bonds mediate the characteristic L-shaped molecular structure. tRNAs have two regions of fundamental functional importance: the anti-codon, which is responsible for specific mRNA codon recognition, and the 3' end, to which the tRNAs corresponding amino acid is attached (by aminoacyl-tRNA synthetases). tRNAs cope with the degeneracy of the genetic code in two manners: having more than one tRNA (with a specific anti-codon) for a particular amino acid; and 'wobble' base-pairing, i.e. permitting non-standard base-pairing at the 3rd anti-codon position.
Source: RNAcentral